AUGUCAUUUUCUAUAUUGAAUGCCUUCACGUUAUGGACGAAUCUCCAUGGAGAAAUCUGGUACAUAACUGAAAACAAAUGCCUGAAACAGAACCUAUCCAGAAGAGAUAAAGAUGCAACUCACUGGAGGAGCUGUGCUAGACUAUAUCAAGUCCUCCACACGCAUAACCCAACUGUCUGCAACUUGUCGCCUUUGAGGCCUACAUUACUAUCCCAAGCAGCAGACUGCAGAAAAGGCUUUGAGUUUAAUAAGCAUCUUGCCUGAAGUCACUCAGCUGGUUGAUUUAGCCAAGAUUUAACUCAAAUGGUUUCAUCCAAAGCCCCCUGAUGUCCACCGUCCCACCACUCUGCCUCUUAACACAACAGAGUACUUGCCAAGUGACAGUCACAUUCCUUCCUCUGAAACUCCAACAUCCCCUGUGGAAAAUCCUUUGUAAAGAGAGACCAGGGUAUGUCCUCCAGUUUCUAUAGUUUACCAACCCUGGGCAUUCAUCUUGUCUGGAUUGAACUUCAGCCAGUUCAUUUUUAGCCAAGUUUCCAACUUAGGCAGCCAGUGGGCAAAACACAAA
RNAcentral lists this long non-coding RNA (568 nucleotides) under Capra hircus (goat). RNAcentral's name for it is "lncRNA (ENSCHIG00010017512.1)". The record is from RNAcentral. Lineage: Eukaryota; Metazoa; Chordata; Mammalia; Artiodactyla; Bovidae.